This 556-nucleotide ribosomal RNA is filed under the name Trichoderma harzianum. RNAcentral's name for it is "eukaryotic LSU rRNA". The stretch from base 164 to 317 matches the Rfam family "5.8S ribosomal RNA". The record is from RNAcentral. Lineage: Eukaryota; Fungi; Ascomycota; Sordariomycetes; Hypocreales; Hypocreaceae.
AACUGUUGCCUCGGCGGGAUCUCGGCCCCGGGUGGGUCGCAGCCCCGGACCAAGGCGCCCGCCGGAGGACCAACCAAAACUCCUUUUGUAUACCCCCUCGCGGGUUUUUUUUAUAAUAUGAGCCUUCUCGGCGCCUCUCGUAGGCGUUUCGAAAAUGAAUCAAAACUUUCAACAACGGAUCUCUUGGUUCUGGCAUCGAUGAAGAACGCAGCGAAAUGCGAUAAGUAAUGUGAAUUGCAGAAUUCAGUGAAUCAUCGAAUCUUUGAACGCACAUUGCGCCCGCCAGUAUUCUGGCGGGCAUGCCUGUCCGAGCGUCAUUUCAACCCUCGAACCCCUCGGGGGGGUCGGCGUUGGGGAUCGGCCCUGCCUCUUGGCUUGGUGGCCGUCUCCGAAAUACAGUGGCGGUCUNGCCGCAGCCUCUCCUGCGCAGUAGUUUGCACACUCGCAUCGGGAGAGCGGCGCGUCCACAGCCGUUAAACACCCAACUUCUGAAAUGUUGACCUCGGAUCAGGUAGGAAUACCCGCUGAACUUAAGCAUAUCAAUAACCGGAGGAAC